This 250-nucleotide ribosomal RNA is filed under the name Enterobacter hormaechei. RNAcentral's name for it is "partial 16S ribosomal RNA". It matches the Rfam family "Bacterial small subunit ribosomal RNA", at positions 199 to 451 of the family's 1533-position model. The record is from RNAcentral. Lineage: Bacteria; Pseudomonadati; Pseudomonadota; Gammaproteobacteria; Enterobacterales; Enterobacteriaceae. RNAcentral also lists the same sequence under 2 other names.
ACCUUCGGGCCUCUUGCCAUCGGAUGUGCCCAGAUGGGAUUAGCUAGUAGGUGGGGUAACGGCUCACCUAGGCGACGAUCCCUAGCUGGUCUGAGAGGAUGACCAGCCACACUGGAACUGAGACACGGUCCAGACUCCUACGGGAGGCAGCAGUGGGGAAUAUUGCACAAUGGGCGCAAGCCUGAUGCAGCCAUGCCGCGUGUAUGAAGAAGGCCUUCGGGUUGUAAAGUACUUUCAGCGGGGAGGAAGG